RNAcentral lists this ribosomal RNA (468 nucleotides) under uncultured bacterium. RNAcentral describes it as "partial 16S ribosomal RNA". It matches the Rfam family "Bacterial small subunit ribosomal RNA", at positions 28 to 507 of the family's 1533-position model. The record is from RNAcentral.
GAUGAACGCUGGCGGCGUGCUUAACACAUGCAAGUCGAACGGAAAGGCCCAAGCUUGCUUGGGUACUCGAGUGGCGAACGGGUGAGUAACACGUGGGUGAUCUGUCCUGCACUUCGGGAUAAGCCUGGGAAACUGGGUCUAAUACCGGAUAGGACGAUGGUUUGGAUGCCAUUGUGGAAAGUUUUUUCGGUGUGGGAUGAGCUCGCGGCCUAUCAGCUUGUUGGUGGGGUAAUGGCCUACCAAGGCGUCGACGGGUAGCCGGCCUGAGAGGGUGUACGGCCACAUUGGGACUGAGAUACGGCCCAGACUCCUACGGGAGGCAGCAGUGGGGAAUAUUGCACAAUGGGCGCAAGCCUGGUGCAGCGACGCCGCGUGGGGGAUGACGGCCUUCGGGUUGUAAACUCCUUUCGCUAGGGACGAAGCGUUUUUGUGACGGUACCUGGAGAAGAAGCACCGGCUAACUACGUG